UGGAAAAAAUCCGGCCAGCGGCUGAGCAGACGGGAAGAUUUAUCUGCCCGGAUGUUCAGACAUUGGACGGAUUCAGGAACAUGAGCAUGAAGAGCGAGAGCUCGGAAUGCGAAUGAUUCCGGAGGAUGGCGAGAGUGCGGCGCACGAAGCCAUCCAAUUUUCCA
Molecule: small RNA, 164 nt
Organism: Eubacteriaceae bacterium CHKCI004
Lineage: Bacteria; Bacillati; Bacillota; Clostridia; Eubacteriales; Eubacteriaceae
Rfam family: Clostridiales-1 RNA
Source: Rfam